Molecule: ribosomal RNA, 301 nt
Filed under: uncultured bacterium
Lineage: Bacteria
Description: partial 16S ribosomal RNA
Rfam family: Bacterial small subunit ribosomal RNA
Source: RNAcentral
CAGCCGCCACGGUAAUACGAAGGGUGCAAGCGUUAAUCGGAUUUACUGGGCGUAAAGCGUGCGUAGGCGGCUUCUUAAGUCGGAUGUGAAAUCCCUGAGCUUAACUUAGGAAUUGCAUUCGAUACUGGGAAGCUAGAGUAUGGGAGAGGAUGGUAGAAUUCCAGGUGUAGCGGUGAAAUGCGUAGAGAUCUGGAGGAAUACCGAUGGCGAAGGCAGCCAUCUGGCCUAAUACUGACGCUGAGGUACGAAAGCAUGGGGAGCAAACAGGAUUAGAUACCCCGGUAGUCCCUGUCUCUUAUAC